CAAGAGCAAGACUCUAGCCAAAACACACCUCCCAAAAUUUAUAGUAGGAAAAAGAAAAGAGGGGAACCGACAGACUUGAGAACAGAAAUAAAAAAAACAAACUCAAUUUACAAAAGAGAGAGGAAGCAGUAGAAGCAAUUUCAACCAAAAGAGGAUAGCUGGCUGAAUGUUAAGAGGACAAAAGCCAAGCAGAAUUCUUUUUAGAAAGUGUUCAAUUUCAGCACACUACUCCUCUUCCCUUGAUCCCUUCCUUGAAGAUAUCCUUACAUCACUCCCCCUACUAAUUUG
Molecule: long non-coding RNA, 288 nt
Filed under: Gossypium barbadense (sea-island cotton)
Lineage: Eukaryota; Viridiplantae; Streptophyta; Magnoliopsida; Malvales; Malvaceae
Description: long non-coding RNA (GBAR_LNC001535)
Source: RNAcentral